GCCUACGGGUGGCUGCAGUGGGGAAUAUUGGACAAUGGGGGGAACCCUGAUCCAGCCAUGCCGCGUGUGUGAAGAAGGCCCUCGGGUUGUAAAGCACUUUCAGUGAGGAAGAACGCCUGGUGGUUAAUACCCAUCAGGAAAGACAUCACUCACAGAAGAAGCACCGGCUAACUCCGUGCCAGCAGCCGCGGUAAUACGGAGGGUGCGAGCGUUAAUCGGAAUUACUGGGCGUAAAGCGCGCGUAGGUGGCUUGAUAAGCCGGUUGUGAAAGCCCCGGGCUCAACCUGGGAACGGCAUCCGGAACUGUCAAGCUAGAGUGCAGGAGAGGAAGGUAGAAUUCCCGGUGUAGCGGUGAAAUGCGUAGAGAUCGGGAGGAAUACCAGUGGCGAAGGCGGCCUUCUGGACUGACACUGACACUGAGGUGCGAAAGCGUGGGUAGCAAACAGGAUUAGAUACCCUUGUAGUC
This 466-nucleotide ribosomal RNA is filed under the name Vreelandella stevensii. RNAcentral's name for it is "partial 16S ribosomal RNA". It matches the Rfam family "Bacterial small subunit ribosomal RNA", at positions 337 to 795 of the family's 1533-position model. The record is from RNAcentral. Lineage: Bacteria; Pseudomonadati; Pseudomonadota; Gammaproteobacteria; Oceanospirillales; Halomonadaceae.